RNAcentral lists this ribosomal RNA (253 nucleotides) under uncultured bacterium. RNAcentral describes it as "partial 16S ribosomal RNA". It matches the Rfam family "Bacterial small subunit ribosomal RNA", at positions 524 to 776 of the family's 1533-position model. The record is from RNAcentral.
UACGGAGGGGACUAGCGUUGUUCGGAUUUACUGGGCGUAAAGAGCGCGUAGGCGGUGUAUUAAGUUAGAAGUGAAAGCCUGGGGCUUAACCUCAGAAAUGCUUCUAAAACUGAUACGCUAGAGUGUGGGAGAGGAUAGUGGAAUUCCUAGUGUAGAGGUGAAAUUCUUAGAUAUUAGGAGGAACACCGGUGGCGAAAGCGGCUAUCUGGAACACAACUGACGCUGAGGCGCGAAAGCGUGGGGAGCAAACAGG